This 449-nucleotide ribosomal RNA is filed under the name uncultured bacterium. Its description in RNAcentral is "bacterial SSU rRNA". It matches the Rfam family "Bacterial small subunit ribosomal RNA", at positions 355 to 796 of the family's 1533-position model. The record is from RNAcentral.
UGGGGAAUUUUGCGCAAUGGGCUAACGCCUGACGCAGCAACGCCGCGUGGAGGAUGAAGGUCUUUGGAUUGUAAACUCCUGUCAGCGGGGAAAAAGCGACCGGUGCUCAUACCACCGGGAGUUGAUUGUACCCGCAGAGGAAGCCCCGGCUAACUCUGUGCCAGCAGCCGCGGUAAUACAGAGGGGGCAAGCGUUAUUCGGAAUUAUUGGGCGUAAAGGGCGCGUAGGCGGCAUAGCAAGUGGAAGGUGAAAUCCCUCGGCUUAACCGAGGAACUGCCCUCCAAACUGCGUUGCUUGAGGCCGGGAGAGGUGAGUGGAAUUCCCAGUGUAGCGGUGAAAUGCGUAGAUAUUGGGAGGAACACCAGUGGCGAAGGCGGCUCACUGGACCGGUUCUGACGCUGAGGCGCGAAAGCGUGGGGAGCAAACGGGAUUAGAUACCCCUGUAGUCC